Molecule: long non-coding RNA, 920 nt
Organism: Ornithodoros turicata
Lineage: Eukaryota; Metazoa; Arthropoda; Arachnida; Ixodida; Argasidae
Exons: 3
Source: RefSeq, a predicted model, not a curated record
UGCUCGCCACAGUGGUGCUGAUGUUUGCUGCCUGCUGGCUGCCCAUUCAUUUACUCAACCUCAUCCUCUACUUCGACCGCGACGCCAUCUUCCCUAGCUCAGACACUGGAGAGUACAUCUACAUCGCUGGCUUCUUCGGCUGCCACUGGCUCUCCAUGGCGAACAGCUUCGUCAACCCCAUUAUCUACUGCUUCAUGAGCGACAAUUUCAGGGCGGACGUGAUGCAUUUGGUACUGAAACGCAGCGUAACAAGAUCGGAUUGGGUCAGGUCCACACAAAGAAAGUCCCAUCACGGAGAACUCCGGUGUUCACUCAACGGAUCAGCAAAGAUCCAACGCUGAGGCAGACGUUGGUCAACUUCUCUCAUUUCAACGUGGCAAGAAGUCGCUGUAUAGUUCCUACGGUGGUUCCACCCGCAACACGGCUACCUUGCACCUGUCCAUCGGUUCAGUGCGUCGCAACGACUGCUCCGCAGCACAAAAUCCGCAAGUGACGCUGCAAGCGUUAAAUCAUCUCCGUGUGACUGGAAGGACCAAAUGACCUCGAAAAUGGACAACAAGAGAGCACCCUAAGCACAAAACUCGGUAUUAACUAUGUGUUGCCGCUGUAUUUUUCUCACCUGGCAUCCAGGUUAUUCAUCAAGAUCUUAAAGGGGCACUAAAGUGCAAAGAUUUCUCCACCUAGAAUACGAAAAAAAAAAGAAAGAACUCUGAACAAGCUGACAUGGGACGGCCUCCUAUUGGUCUCCGCAAGCGAUUUGCCCAGUGAAAGCGGGAAAUGUCGGCACGGUUCCCUUAGAAGCUGGCCUAGGACGCACAUUCCCCCACGGCGUUAGUCGUGACGCUGCCUACCUCUGUGAGGUCGACAACGGCGAGCCCUUUCAUCACCACCACCACCAUCACCACCACCACCAAGGCGGG